UACGUAGGGUGCAAGCGUUAUCCGGAAUUAUUGGGCGUAAAGAGCUCGUAGGCGGUUUGUCGCGUCUGCUGUGAAAACCCGAGGCUCAACCUCGGGCCUGCAGUGGGUACGGGCAGACUAGAGUGCGGUAGGGGAGAUUGGAAUUCCUGGUGUAGCGGUGGAAUGCGCAGAUAUCAGGAGGAACACCGAUGGCGAAGGCAGGUCUCUGGGCCAUAACUGACGCUGAGAAGCGAAAGCAUGGGGAGCGAACAGG
RNAcentral lists this ribosomal RNA (253 nucleotides) under uncultured bacterium. RNAcentral describes it as "partial 16S ribosomal RNA". It matches the Rfam family "Bacterial small subunit ribosomal RNA", at positions 524 to 776 of the family's 1533-position model. The record is from RNAcentral.